RNAcentral lists this transfer RNA (71 nucleotides) under Porticoccus sp. RNAcentral's name for it is "tRNA-Ile". It matches the Rfam family "tRNA". From Rfam's summary of the family: Transfer RNA (tRNA) molecules are approximately 80 nucleotides in length. The record is from RNAcentral. Lineage: Bacteria; Pseudomonadati; Pseudomonadota; Gammaproteobacteria; Cellvibrionales; Porticoccaceae.
UCGCCAUUAGCUUAGUGGUAAAGUGCCAAGCUUAUAUCUUGGCGUCGACAGUUCGAUUCUGUCAUGGCGUA